This 48-nucleotide transfer RNA is filed under the name Bacteroidales bacterium. RNAcentral describes it as "tRNA-Ser". It matches the Rfam family "tRNA", at positions 25 to 71 of the family's 71-position model. Rfam says of the family: Transfer RNA (tRNA) molecules are approximately 80 nucleotides in length. Lineage: Bacteria; Pseudomonadati; Bacteroidota; Bacteroidia; Bacteroidales. The record is from RNAcentral.
AUCUGCCUUACAAGCAGAGGGUCCUUGGUUCGAAUCCAUGUGCUCCCA